AGGCGACGACGGGUAGCCGGCCUGAGAGGGCGACCGGCCACACUGGGACUGAGACACGGCCCAGACUCCUACGGGAGGCAGCAGUGGGGAAUAUUGCACAAUGGGCGAAAGCCUGAUGCAGCGACGCCGCGUGAGGGAUGACGGCCUUCGGGUUGUAAACCUCUUUCAGCAGGGAAGAAGCGAAAGUGACGGUACCUGCAGAAGAAGCGCCGGCUAACUACGUGCCAGCAGCCGCGGUAAUACGUAGGGCGCGAGCGUUGUCCGGAAUUAUUGGGCGUAAAGAGCUCGUAGGCGGUCUGUCGCGUCGGAUGUGAAAGCCCGGGGCUUAACCCCGGGUCUGCAUUCGAUACGGGCAGACUAGAGUGUGGUAGGGGAGAUCGGAAUUCCUGGUGUAGCGGUGAAAUGCGCAGAUAUCAGGAGGAACACCGGUGGCGAAGGCGGAUCUCUGGGCCAUUACUGACGCUGAGGAGCGAAAGCGUGGGGAGCGAACAGGAUUAGAUACCCUGGUAGUCCACGCCGUAAACGGUGGGAACUAGGUGUUGGCGACAUUCCACGUCGUCGGUGCCGCAGCUAACGCAUUAAGUUCCCCGCCUGGGGAGUACGGCCGCAAGGCUAAAACUCAAAGGAAUUGACGGGGGCCCGCACAAGCAACGGAGCAUGUGGCUUAAUUUGACGCAACGCGAAGAACCUUUCCCAGGCUUGACAUACCCCGGAAACGGCCAGAGAUGGUCGCCCCCUUGUGGUCGGUGUACAGGUGGUGCAUGGCUGUUGUCAACUUGUGUUGUGAGAUGUUGGGUUAAGUUCCGCCACGAACGCCACCCUUGUUUUGUGUUGCCAACAUGCCCUUCGGGGUGAUGGGGACUCCCAGGAGACUGCCGGGGUCAACUCGGAGGAAGGUGGGGACGACGUCCAGUCAUCAUGCCCCUUAUGUUUUGGGCUGCCCCCGUGCUACAAUGGCAGGUACAAUGAACUGCGAAACCGUGAGGCGGAACGAAUUUCAAAAAACCUGUUUCAGUUCGGAUUGGGGUUUGCAACUCGACCCCCAGAAGUCGGAGUUGCUAGUAAUCGCAGAUCAGCAUUGCUGCGGGGAAUACGUUCCCGGGCCUUGUACACCCGCCCGUCACGUCACGAAAGUCGGUAACACCCGAAG
Molecule: ribosomal RNA, 1150 nt
Filed under: actinomycete LQ64
Lineage: Bacteria; Bacillati; Actinomycetota; Actinomycetes; Actinomycetales
Description: bacterial SSU rRNA
Rfam family: Bacterial small subunit ribosomal RNA
Source: RNAcentral